RNAcentral lists this ribosomal RNA (497 nucleotides) under uncultured bacterium. Its description in RNAcentral is "bacterial SSU rRNA". It matches the Rfam family "Bacterial small subunit ribosomal RNA", at positions 28 to 517 of the family's 1533-position model. The record is from RNAcentral.
GACGAACGCUGGCGGCGUGGAUUAGGCAUGCAAGUCGAACGGUAGGAUACCUUCGGGUAUCUGAGAGUGGCGAACGGGUGAGUAACACGUAGGUGAUCUACCCUCAAGAUUGGGACAACCCAGGGAAACUUGGGCUAAUACCGGAUGAAAGCAGCAGUGAUGUUGUUUGAAAGGUGGCGUAAGCUGCCGUUUGGGGAUGAGCCUGCGCUCUAUUAGUUAGUUGGCGGGGUAAAGGCCCACCAAGGCGAUGAUAGAUAGGCGGCCUUAACGGGUGGUCGCCCACACUGGGAUUGAGAUACGGCCCAGACUCCUACGGGAGGCAGCAGUCGAGAAUAGUCUACAAUGGCCGAAAGGCUGAUAGUGCGACGCCGCGUGAACGAAGAAGCCCUUCGGGGUGUAAAGUUCUUUUAUAUGUGAGCAGUGCUUUCUAUGUGAACAGCAUGGGGAAGAGAUAUUAGCAUAUGAAUAAGCAACGGCUAACUCCGUGCCAGCAGCCG